CUACGUGCCAGCAGCCGCGGUAAUACGUAUGUCACGAGCGUUAUCCGGAUUUAUUGGGCGUAAAGCGCGUCUAGGUGGUUAUAUAAGUCUGAUGUGAAAAUGCAGGGCUCAACUCUGUAUUGCGUUGGAAACUGUAUAACUAGAGUACUGGAAAGGUAAGCGGAACUACAAGUGUAGAGGUGAAAUUCGUAGAUAUUUGUAGGAAUGCCGAUGGGGAAGCCAGCUUACUGGACAGAUACUGACGCUGAAGCGCGAAAGCGUGGGUAGCAAACAGGAUUAGAUACCCUGGUAGUCCACGCUGUAAACGAUGAUUACUAGGUGUUGGGGGUCGAACCUCAGCGCCCAAGCAAACGCGAUAAGUAAUCCGCCUGGGGAGUACGUACGCAAGUAUGAAACUCAAAGGAAUUGACGGGGACCCGCACAAGCGGUGGAGCAUGUGGUUUAAUUCGACGCAACGCGAGGAACCUUACCAGCGUUUGACAUC
This 484-nucleotide ribosomal RNA is filed under the name uncultured bacterium. RNAcentral's name for it is "bacterial SSU rRNA". It matches the Rfam family "Bacterial small subunit ribosomal RNA", at positions 501 to 988 of the family's 1533-position model. The record is from RNAcentral.